CCUCAUAAGGAUCUCGACGAAGUGUUGGUGCUGAAGUACCUUCAAUUUUCGAACCCAUGUUAUUGUUUUCUCUCAUUCAAUUCUCUCCAUCACCUAAAACCCCAAUUCUUUCAAUAAUCACCAAAUCUCUCCAAUCUAACCAAAAAACAUUCAAUUAAAAAUCAAAAAAAUUGUUCAAAAAUUCAAAAAAUUCAAUCUUUUUAGAUCUCAAUUUGGGUACCUGAAGGAGAGAUUUGAUGUUGAAGGAGAGAUUUGAUGAAUUGAGACUGCUUUUCAGAGUUUUUUAGGUUUGAUUUUAGAAUUCAAAAAGAAAAGUUUCGAAUUGAAGAAAGAUUUAGUAUUUACGAUUACGAAGACUUUCGUCAGUUGUCUUAUAUGGACCGUUGAUUAUUAAUAAUUCCUCGAUAUACGAAUAAAGUAUUAUUUCGAGGUCGGUCUACGAUUUUGACGGUCAUGGAAGUUUAAUGGACUUGUUUGUUUUUUGUUCCGU
Molecule: long non-coding RNA, 490 nt
Filed under: Aquilegia coerulea
Lineage: Eukaryota; Viridiplantae; Streptophyta; Magnoliopsida; Ranunculales; Ranunculaceae
Description: long non-coding RNA (ACOE_LNC001722)
Source: RNAcentral